Long non-coding RNA from Dermacentor albipictus, 2274 nucleotides. RefSeq lists it as uncharacterized. NCBI's taxonomy places the organism in Eukaryota, Metazoa, Arthropoda, Arachnida, Ixodida, Ixodidae. The record is from RefSeq and is a predicted model, not a curated record.
UCGUGCGAGCUGCGUCGAUGUGUUUGUUUGAUCGUGUGUUAUUAGGUUUGCUGUAAUGAAAUGAGACGUAGUUCGCGAGCACGAAAGUGCCAGAAGAUGGCUUGAGUCUCGCUGUAAGCACGCCGUAUGCGUGGCGCGCCGGCUAAAUGUGGACCAACGAUUUUCAUGCCAUGGAGUGCGUUCCCUUUGUCUCCGCUUGUGUUCGUGGAAAGUUUGGUGGACGGCGCAAAGAAGUAAUGCGUAUUAUUAGCGCGCCUCAGCUCGUCCACUACCCAGUGGCUUGUUUGCUGCAAGUAACAUCGCAGACGCAUCACUGGAAACUUGGAGAGUGCCUUUCGACCUCGUCGUACUGUUGAAACGUGGCGAGGCCGUGACCCACAACAUAAACUACAAGAUCGAGGAGCCCCAAGAAAUGCAGACCCUGUGGAUAUAUGGCUGCAGCAGCAUGGCGUGUGAUCUGGAUGGUCAUGACAGGCUCCACCGUCGCCGUUACUAGACGGACCAAAUGAGGCCAAAAACUAGCCUUUCCUCGCUCCAUUCCUGGGAAGUGAAAUAGCAGGUGGUCAUGUAAGAAUGAACUUGCAACCAUGUGGGCAGUAGCCAAAGCUCCCUACAGUUCAUGCUGGUGGUGGAAUGCUAAGACAAACCGCAAUAUUUGUUUGUUUACUUAUUCACUUAAUAUUUAUUUAUUCAUAUCUCAUGAAUACUGUGCAGUUUUUUUAGCAAGGAGUCAGGUAAAAUAAAGAAAUAUUGUUGCAUCAAAGUAAACAUUAUUUGAAAAAGCAUAAUUCACGUAGCACGAAUUCAUGGAAACUGUAAAUUUUGAAGAAACAGAGCAGUAAGGUUAACAAAUCUUAUAUAACAAAAAAUGAGAUCACAUUUCUGUUGGACCUAAUACCAUAAUUUAAUCUGUCAAAUUAGAGAUACCAUAUGCUGCUCUAAUAUACAAUCACUAAUUUAUGAGCAGAUGCGCGAAACUCUCAAACGUUGCAACAAUUUCAUGUAAGCUGUAAAUUCAUAUAUACAGUUUGUUGACUUUAGACAUAGCAGAUGGAGUCUGCAGAACUAUGAUAUCUCUUUCUGGCACAGAGACGGGGAUUAGUAAGCUUCGUGGUGUUAUUUUUCUUAAACCUGCCAAAUAGUUCUUCCUGCAACAGGUAGAAUUCUCAAAUGCCGCAAACUUAAUUCAAAUUAGUGCUGUGGUUGUCUCAAAAAUAUUUCUGUAUUUUGGAUGUAUUUGAGUAGGAAAAUUUACAGAAUUAACGAAUUUGUGCUAGCUCUUUUUUUAUUUACCGUUGCAAACUAAGUCCUUUUCCUUCAAGUUUUGCUAUUUUCAGAAAAUUUUAAUGAAAAUUGAUGGUGUUAAUGUAAAAACUAUUAUUUAAACAUUUUUAAAUGUAUCAAACCUCAUCAAAUUUGGUUGCAUAGUUGCCGAGAAAAACGAUUUUACUGUUCAUGUGCAUUACAUAGGAGCUCCUGAGCUAAAUCUCUUUUUUAGUCAUUGCGUGUGUCGGUCUGGUUUGUAUUUCUCACCCUAAUUAGAAUAUUGGCUCUGAUCUCAAAAUUGUUUCCCUUACAACGAAAUACAAGCUCUUAAACUUUUUACGAUAUAUGCUCUACUGCUCUAUGAUAACCCCUGUUUGCCACAUUUUUGCAGGGCCUACCAGUGCUAAUUUUACACAUAAACAUAGACUAAAAUGCCGUGUGGUUUCGGUAUAUGGUGUACUUAUCUGUGAAAGCCAUUAUUUGCCACAUUUUUGCAGCGACUGCCAGUGUUAUUUUUGCUCAGACUAAAAUGCUGUGUCGUUUCGUCAGGCUAACACAACAUUGGAGUGCACAUUCAUAUCAGUCUAUUUUCAGGCUUUAGUAUCCAAACAUUUAAUGUGCACUGCUGGAACAGGCACUCCUUUUGCAGUUUUAAUGGUAUGGUUUCUUGUCCUAGUCAAGCCUGUUAUUGCGAGGUGUCAACUGUAAUCAAGUCUGCCACUGAUUCUUUUACCUCAUGUUUCGUGUGUUUGCACCACCAGCUUGACCUGAGAAGCAUGUUGGCAGCUACAGUUUGUGUGUUGCAAGUUCUAGUCUGAAGUGUGUAUGUCACAUAUAUGAAGCAUGUAUCUAGUCUGAAGUGCAAUAAACAUUUCAAACUGAAUACUUUGUGGUUGUAGCACCAAUUAUUUUGCCACUGCAUUUACUGUAGUCCUUAUUGCCUACAGUAGAACUUUGGUAAAUUGCAAGUACUUUACACACAUCGGCCUAGCUUUUAUAGGCAUUUGC